This 71-nucleotide transfer RNA is filed under the name Nelumbo nucifera (sacred lotus). It matches the Rfam family "tRNA". From Rfam's summary of the family: Transfer RNA (tRNA) molecules are approximately 80 nucleotides in length. Their secondary structure includes four short double-helical elements and three loops (D, anti-codon, and T loops). The record is from Rfam by way of RNAcentral. Lineage: Eukaryota; Viridiplantae; Streptophyta; Magnoliopsida; Proteales; Nelumbonaceae.
UUGACCUUAGCUCAGUUAGAAGAGCAGAGGACUGGUCCUCUAGGUUGCUGGUUCGAUUCCAGCAGGUCGAG